This 2925-nucleotide ribosomal RNA is filed under the name Escherichia coli. Its description in RNAcentral is "23S ribosomal RNA". It matches the Rfam family "Bacterial large subunit ribosomal RNA". Lineage: Bacteria; Pseudomonadati; Pseudomonadota; Gammaproteobacteria; Enterobacterales; Enterobacteriaceae. The record is from RNAcentral.
GGGUUGUGAGGUUAAGCGACUAAGCGUACACGGUGGAUGCCCUGGCAGUCAGAGGCGAUGAAGGACGUGCUAAUCUGCGAUAAGCGUCGGUAAGGUGAUAUGAACCGUUAUAACCGGCGAUUUCCGAAUGGGGAAACCCAGUGUGAUUCGUCACACUAUCAUUAACUGAAUCCAUAGGUUAAUGAGGCGAACCGGGGGAACUGAAACAUCUAAGUACCCCGAGGAAAAGAAAUCAACCGAGAUUCCCCCAGUAGCGGCGAGCGAACGGGGAGCAGCCCAGAGCCUGAAUCAGUGUGUGUGUUAGUGGAAGCGUCUGGAAAGGCGCGCGAUACAGGGUGACAGCCCCGUACACAAAAAUGCACAUGCUGUGAGCUCGAUGAGUAGGGCGGGACACGUGGUAUCCUGUCUGAAUAUGGGGGGACCAUCCUCCAAGGCUAAAUACUCCUGACUGACCGAUAGUGAACCAGUACCGUGAGGGAAAGGCGAAAAGAACCCCGGCGAGGGGAGUGAAAAAGAACCUGAAACCGUGUACGUACAAGCAGUGGGAGCACGCUUAGGCGUGUGACUGCGUACCUUUUGUAUAAUGGGUCAGCGACUUAUAUUCUGUAGCAAGGUUAACCGAAUAGGGGAGCCGAAGGGAAACCGAGUCUUAACUGGGCGUUAAGUUGCAGGGUAUAGACCCGAAACCCGGUGAUCUAGCCAUGGGCAGGUUGAAGGUUGGGUAACACUAACUGGAGGACCGAACCGACUAAUGUUGAAAAAUUAGCGGAUGACUUGUGGCUGGGGGUGAAAGGCCAAUCAAACCGGGAGAUAGCUGGUUCUCCCCGAAAGCUAUUUAGGUAGCGCCUCGUGAAUUCAUCUCCGGGGGUAGAGCACUGUUUCGGCAAGGGGGUCAUCCCGACUUACCAACCCGAUGCAAACUGCGAAUACCGGAGAAUGUUAUCACGGGAGACACACGGCGGGUGCUAACGUCCGUCGUGAAGAGGGAAACAACCCAGACCGCCAGCUAAGGUCCCAAAGUCAUGGUUAAGUGGGAAACGAUGUGGGAAGGCCCAGACAGCCAGGAUGUUGGCUUAGAAGCAGCCAUCAUUUAAAGAAAGCGUAAUAGCUCACUGGUCGAGUCGGCCUGCGCGGAAGAUGUAACGGGGCUAAACCAUGCACCGAAGCUGCGGCAGCGACGCUUAUGCGUUGUUGGGUAGGGGAGCGUUCUGUAAGCCUGUGAAGGUGUGCUGUGAGGCAUGCUGGAGGUAUCAGAAGUGCGAAUGCUGACAUAAGUAACGAUAAAGCGGGUGAAAAGCCCGCUCGCCGGAAGACCAAGGGUUCCUGUCCAACGUUAAUCGGGGCAGGGUGAGUCGACCCCUAAGGCGAGGCCGAAAGGCGUAGUCGAUGGGAAACAGGUUAAUAUUCCUGUACUUGGUGUUACUGCGAAGGGGGGACGGAGAAGGCUAUGUUGGCCGGGCGACGGUUGUCCCGGUUUAAGCGUGUAGGCUGGUUUUCCAGGCAAAUCCGGAAAAUCAAGGCUGAGGCGUGAUGACGAGGCACUACGGUGCUGAAGCAACAAAUGCCCUGCUUCCAGGAAAAGCCUCUAAGCAUCAGGUAACAUCAAAUCGUACCCCAAACCGACACAGGUGGUCAGGUAGAGAAUACCAAGGCGCUUGAGAGAACUCGGGUGAAGGAACUAGGCAAAAUGGUGCCGUAACUUCGGGAGAAGGCACGCUGAUAUGUAGGUGAAGUCCCUCGCGGAUGGAGCUGAAAUCAGUCGAAGAUACCAGCUGGCUGCAACUGUUUAUUAAAAACACAGCACUGUGCAAACACGAAAGUGGACGUAUACGGUGUGACGCCUGCCCGGUGCCGGAAGGUUAAUUGAUGGGGUUAGCGCAAGCGAAGCUCCUGAUCGAAGCCCCGGUAAACGGCGGCCGUAACUAUAACGGUCCUAAGGUAGCGAAAUUCCUUGUCGGGUAAGUUCCGACCUGCACGAAUGGCGUAAUGAUGGCCAGGCUGUCUCCACCCGAGACUCAGUGAAAUUGAACUCGCUGUGAAGAUGCAGUGUACCCGCGGCAAGACGGAAAGACCCCGUGAACCUUUACUAUAGCUUGACACUGAACAUUGAGCCUUGAUGUGUAGGAUAGGUGGGAGGCUUUGAAGUGUGGACGCCAGUCUGCAUGGAGCCGACCUUGAAAUACCACCCUUUAAUGUUUGAUGUUCUAACGUUGACCCGUAAUCCGGGUUGCGGACAGUGUCUGGUGGGUAGUUUGACUGGGGCGGUCUCCUCCUAAAGAGUAACGGAGGAGCACGAAGGUUGGCUAAUCCUGGUCGGACAUCAGGAGGUUAGUGCAAUGGCAUAAGCCAGCUUGACUGCGAGCGUGACGGCGCGAGCAGGUGCGAAAGCAGGUCAUAGUGAUCCGGUGGUUCUGAAUGGAAGGGCCAUCGCUCAACGGAUAAAAGGUACUCCGGGGAUAACAGGCUGAUACCGCCCAAGAGUUCAUAUCGACGGCGGUGUUUGGCACCUCGAUGUCGGCUCAUCACAUCCUGGGGCUGAAGUAGGUCCCAAGGGUAUGGCUGUUCGCCAUUUAAAGUGGUACGCGAGCUGGGUUUAGAACGUCGUGAGACAGUUCGGUCCCUAUCUGCCGUGGGCGCUGGAGAACUGAGGGGGGCUGCUCCUAGUACGAGAGGACCGGAGUGGACGCAUCACUGGUGUUCGGGUUGUCAUGCCAAUGGCACUGCCCGGUAGCUAAAUGCGGAAGAGAUAAGUGCUGAAAGCAUCUAAGCACGAAACUUGCCCCGAGAUGAGUUCUCCCUGACUCCUUGAGAGUCCUGAAGGAACGUUGAAGACGACGACGUUGAUAGGCCGGGUGUGUAAGCGCAGCGAUGCGUUGAGCUAACCGGUACUAAUGAACCGUGAGGCUUAACCUUACAACGCCGAAG